RNAcentral lists this ribosomal RNA (483 nucleotides) under uncultured bacterium. Its description in RNAcentral is "partial 16S ribosomal RNA". It matches the Rfam family "Bacterial small subunit ribosomal RNA", at positions 30 to 507 of the family's 1533-position model. The record is from RNAcentral.
UUGCACGCUGGCGGCAGGCCUAACCCCUGCAAGUCGCGCGGAUGAAGGGAGCUUGCUCCUGGAUUCAGCGGCGGACGGGUGAGUAAUGCCUAGGAAUCUGCCUGGUAGUGGGGGAUAACGUCCGGAAACGGGCGCUAAUACCGCAUACGUCCUGAGGGAGAAAGUGGGGGAUCUUCGGACCUCACGCUAUCAGAUGAGCCUAGGUCGGAUUAGCUAGUUGGUGGGGUAAAGGCCUACCAAGGCGACGAUCCGUAACUGGUCUGAGAGGAUGAUCAGUCACACUGGAACUGAGACACGGUCCAGACUCCUACGGGAGGCAGCAGUGGGGAAUAUUGGACAAUGGGCGAAAGCCUGAUCCAGCCAUGCCGCGUGUGUGAAGAAGGUCUUCGGAUUGUAAAGCACUUUAAGUUGGGAGGAAGGGCAGUAAGUUAAUACCUUGCUGUUUUGACGUUACCAACAGAAUAAGCACCGGCUAACUUCGUG